AUCACCUGAGGAUCUUGUUAAACUGCAGAUUCUGAUUCAGGAGCCUGAGAUUCUGCAUUUAAACAAGCUUCCAGGUGCUAUUGA
RNAcentral lists this microRNA precursor (84 nucleotides) under Felis catus (domestic cat). Its description in RNAcentral is "mir-544 microRNA precursor family". It matches the Rfam family "mir-544 microRNA precursor family". RNAcentral also lists the same sequence under 1 other name. Lineage: Eukaryota; Metazoa; Chordata; Mammalia; Carnivora; Felidae. The record is from Rfam by way of RNAcentral.